AUCCGUCCCUCUCUCGAAAUAACGGGCAUCACGAAUGAGUUUGUACAGUCCUUGUACGCUCCCUGCAGACACCCAGGAAAAGUGUGAUGUGACACAGAUUUGAAAAAACAGCAAACAUGGAAAGUUUUACAUGAUGUAAACGACCCCCCCCGCAUCGAUUCUUUCGGUGAGAAGAAAGUUUUCCUUCUUUUUUAUUCCUAGCGGAGUAAAUGGGCUUCGCGAACGCCGUUCCUCCUUGUG
Molecule: non-coding RNA, 240 nt
Filed under: Palpitomonas bilix
Lineage: Eukaryota
Source: RNAcentral